This 492-nucleotide ribosomal RNA is filed under the name uncultured bacterium. RNAcentral's name for it is "partial 16S ribosomal RNA". It matches the Rfam family "Bacterial small subunit ribosomal RNA", at positions 29 to 507 of the family's 1533-position model. The record is from RNAcentral.
AGUGAACGCUGGCGGUAGGCCUAACACAUGCAAGUCGAACGGCAGCACAGUAAGAGCUUGCUCUUACGGGUGGCGAGUGGCGGACGGGUGAGGAAUACAUCGGAAUCUACUUUUUCGUGGGGGAUAACGUAGGGAAACUUACGCUAAUACCGCAUACGACCUACGGGUGAAAGCAGGGGAUCUUCGGACCUUGCGCGAUUGAAUGAGCCGAUGUCGGAUUAGCUAGUUGGCGGGGUAAAGACCCACCAAGGCGACGAUCCGUAGCUGGUCUGAGAGGAUGAUCAGCCACACUGGAACUGAGACACGGUCCAGACUCCUACGGGAGGCAGCAGUGGGGAAUAUUGGACAAAGGGCGCAAGCCUGAUCCAGCCAUACCGCGUGGGUGAAGAAGGCCUUCGGGUUGUAAAGCCCUUUUGUUGGGAAAGAAAAGCAGCAGGUUAAUACCCCGCUGUUCUGACGGUACCCAAAGAAUAAGCACCGGCUAACUUCGUG